This is a long non-coding RNA of Salvia miltiorrhiza (redroot sage), 946 nucleotides long. RefSeq lists it as uncharacterized. The record is from RefSeq and is a predicted model, not a curated record. Lineage: Eukaryota; Viridiplantae; Streptophyta; Magnoliopsida; Lamiales; Lamiaceae. The transcript has 2 exons.
UAUAAAACUAUCCACUUUCAUAUUGUAAAGAUAAAAAUUGUCCACUAAGAUAAAAAUAAUAAAAAUUGUCCACUUUUUGAUUGAAAAGACAAAAAUACCCUCCUUCAAAUAUACUACUCUCUCUCUCUCUCUCCACUCUCUUUCUCUCUCUUCUCCCUCACGGCCCUUCCCCCUUCUCUCUCUCUCUCCCUCCCUCCCUUCGAUCUCAGAUCGCCGCCUCGGCCUCGUCGCCUCCGCCAUCGCCCCCGGCCUCGUCGUCUCUGCCCCGGCCUCUUCGCCUCUGCCAUCUUCUGCUUCACCCCUCGCCGCGAAGCGCUUCGUCUCAAAUACUCCGCCGCUUCAAUCACCGCCGGUCUCGCUUCGUCUCGCCUUCGUUCUGGAUCUCAGCGAUUUUCCGGCCGAUCUCGCGCAUGAUUUGCUGGCGCCACUUGUUGGCCUCCGCUAGGUCGCGGCACUCCGACUCCAGGUAGGGGCGGUCCUCCUUCGGCUUCUUCUUCUCCACCACCAUCGCGACGCACAGCGAAGUCGAUCUUCUCAAGUUUCAACUGAGUUAUGUCCGACGAAGAGAAGCCAGAUCCGCCGGCCAUCCAGAUUCAGGAAUCGAGGGAGCGCUCGAAUUUGUUCUGCGAAAUCGGAGAUAGCAAGCUGCUAUUUGGAGAAUUACAAUGCUGAAUUUACUGAAGAUUCUGCAACAGCUCUAGUUCUUGGGGUUUUGGGGUGAUUUACAGGCGGUGCGGUGGUGACGGAGAUGGAGGGUGCGGCGAAGAAGAGGCGAUUUGGUGGUGACGGAGAUUCUGCAACAGCUCUAGUUCGAGCAGCUUCUCCCAUAUAUGAUGCAUCAUUGACUUUAAUUAUUGUUAUUCAUCCACCUUCAUUUGUGUGGCAUUUGUUUUUUGUUGCUGGAGAAUAUAACCAGAUCAUUAAUGUUAAUUUGUUUUUUAAAUAA